Molecule: ribosomal RNA, 1404 nt
Filed under: uncultured prokaryote
Description: partial 16S ribosomal RNA
Rfam family: Bacterial small subunit ribosomal RNA
Source: RNAcentral
AGAGUUUGAUCCUGGCUCAGAGCGAACGGUGGCGGCGUGGAUUAGGCAUGCAAGUCGCACGCGAACGGAAUAGCUUGCUAUUCCUAUUAGAGUGGCGAACGGGUGAGUAAUGUAUGGACAACCUACCCUUGACUUUGGGACAACCGUUGGAAACGACGGCUAAUACCAAAUAGUCCCGUGAAGAGGUACUCGACACGGGUAAAGAUGGAUUCCAUUGAUUGAGGAGGGGUCCAUAUCCCAUCAGCUUGUUGGCGGGGUAAUGGCCCACCAAGGCAUCGACGGGUAGCCGAACUGAGAGGUUGAUCGGCCACAUCGGGACUGAGACACUGCCCGGACUCCUACGGGAGGCUGCAGUCGAGAAUCUUCCGCAAUGGACGCAAGUCUGACGGAGCGACGCCGCGUGAAGGAUGAAGGCCCUCGGGUUGUAAACUUCUGUCACUCGUGAAGAACGUCCAAGGUAAAGCCUGGGAUUGACGUUAGCGAGAGAGGAAGCCACGGCUAACUUCGUGCCAGCAGCCGCGGUAAUACGAAGGUGGCAACCGUUGCUCGGAUUCACUGGGCAUAAAGCGCGCGUAGGUGGCAACGUAAGUCAUUGGUGAAAUCCCACCGCUCAACGGUGGAACUGCCAGUGAAACUGCCUUGCUUGAGGACGGGAGGGGAGAGUGGAACUCUUGGUGUAGCGGUGAAAUGCGUAGAUAUCAAGAGGAACGCCGGUGGCGAAAGCGACUCUCUGGACCGAUCCUGACACUGAGGUGCGAAAGCUAGGGGAGCAAACAGGAUUAGAUACCCUGGUAGUCCUAGCUGUAAACGAUGGGCACUGGGUAGAGGAGGUUAUAUGCCUUCCCUGCCGGAGCUAAUGUAUUAAGUGCCCCGCCUGGGGAGUAUGGUCGCAAGGCUAAAACUCAAAGGAAUUGACGGGGGCUCACACAAGCGGUGGAGGAUGUGGUUUAAUUCGAAGCAACGCGCAGAACCUUACCCGGGUUUGAAAUGAUAGGAUUAGGCUCCUGAAAGGGAGUUGACGCCGCAAGGUGGAACUAUCACAGGUGUUGCAUGGCUGUCGUCAGCUCGUGUCGUGAGAUGUCGGGUUAAGUCCCUUAACGAGCGAAACCCUUGUCAUUAGUUGCCAGCGAGUAAAGUCGGGGACUCUAAUGAGACUGCCGUUGUUAAAACGGAGGAAGGUGGGGAUGACGUCAAGUCAUCAUGGCCUUUAUGUCCGGGGCUACACACGUCCCACAAUGGCCGAUACAAAGGGAAGCGAAACCGCAAGGUCAAGCAAAUCCCACAAAGUCGGUCCCAGUUCGGAUUGCGGGCUGCAAUUCGCCCGCAUGAAGUCGGAAUCGCUAGUAAUCGCGGAUCAGCUACGCCGCGGUGAAUAUGUUCCUGAGCCUUGUACACACCGCCCGU